RNAcentral lists this ribosomal RNA (196 nucleotides) under uncultured bacterium. RNAcentral describes it as "partial 16S ribosomal RNA". It matches the Rfam family "Bacterial small subunit ribosomal RNA", at positions 338 to 524 of the family's 1533-position model. The record is from RNAcentral.
CCUACGGGAGGCAGCAGUGGGGAAUUUUGGGCAAUGGGCGCAAGCCUGAUCCAGCCAUUCCGCGUGAGUGAAGAAGGCCUUCGGGUUGUAAAGCUCUUUCAGCAGGAAGGAAAACGCAUCCCCUUUAAUACGGGCCGAGAAUGACGGUACCUCCAGAAGAAGCACCGGCUAACUCCGUGCCAGCAGCCGCGGUAAU